CGGACAAUAUACAAGGUGCUGCAUGGUUGUCGUCAGCUCGUGCCGUGAGGUGUCGGGUUAAGUCCCAUAACGAGCGCAACCCCUAUCAUUAGUUGCCAUCAGGUCAAGCUGGGGACUCUAAUGAAACUGCCUACGCAAGUAGUGAGGAAGGCGGGGAUGACGUCAAAUCAGCACGGCCCUUACGUCCAGGGCUACACACGUGCUACAAUGGCCGAUACAGAGGGCAGCUACCUGGUGACAGGAUGCAAAUCUACCAAAGUCGGUCUCAGUUCGGAUCGGAGUCUGCAACCCGACUCCGUGAAGUUGGAUUCGCUAGUAAUCGCGCAUCAGCCAUGGCGCGGUGAAUACGUUCCCGGGCCUU
Molecule: ribosomal RNA, 361 nt
Filed under: uncultured Sphingobacteriales bacterium
Lineage: Bacteria; Pseudomonadati; Bacteroidota; Sphingobacteriia; Sphingobacteriales
Description: bacterial SSU rRNA
Rfam family: Bacterial small subunit ribosomal RNA
Source: RNAcentral